Molecule: ribosomal RNA, 465 nt
Filed under: uncultured Pseudomonadota bacterium
Lineage: Bacteria; Pseudomonadati; Pseudomonadota
Description: bacterial SSU rRNA
Rfam family: Bacterial small subunit ribosomal RNA
Source: RNAcentral
AGAGUUUGAUCUGGCUCAGAACGAACGCUGGCGGCAGGCUUAACACAUGCAAGUCGAACGCCCCGCAAGGGGAGUGGCAGACGGGUGAGUAACGCGUGGGAACCUACCCAGUGGUACGGAACAACCCAGGGAAACUUGGGCUAAUACCGUAUACGCCCCUAGGGGGAAAGAUUUAUCGCCAUUGGACGGGCCCGCGUUGGAUUAGCUAGUUGGUGGGGUAAUGGCCUACCAAGGCAACGAUCCAUAGCUGGUCUGAGAGGAUGAUCAGCCACACUGGGACUGAGACACGGCCCAGACUCCUACGGGAGGCAGCAGUGGGGAAUCUUGGACAAUGGGCGCAAGCCUGAUCCAGCCAUGCCGCGUGAGUGAAGAAGGCCUUAGGGUUGUAAAGCUCUUUCGGCGGGGACGAUAAUGACGGUACCCGCAGAAGAAGCCCCGGCUAACUCCGUGCCAGCAGCCGCGGUA